Nomascus leucogenys (northern white-cheeked gibbon) is the source of this 104-nucleotide small nuclear RNA. The record is from Ensembl. Lineage: Eukaryota; Metazoa; Chordata; Mammalia; Primates; Hylobatidae.
UUGCUCACUUGGGCAGCGCAUACACUAAAAUUGGAACCACACAGAGAUUAGCGUGGCUCCUGCGCAAGGAUGACAUGAAAUUUCACGAAGCAUUCCCUAUUAAA